AUGCGCAAUCAAGUAUUUUUCUUGAAAAAUCUUGGGGUCUUUCAAUUUUCGCCUUUGCAAAAUUAUUCCUUGUGCCACACAGUUCUUCUCAUGAGUUUUGCAAAAAAUACCCCAGAGUGGAAAAUGCCUCGUCCCUGGACUCGUUGCAUGCUAAAUCCACCGGAAGAAGUUUCUGGGACCCAGACAAGCAACAACUUCACACAGGGGCAGUCUAGUCAGCAGGGCAGUGAAGCAGCAUUUUCUCAAGUAUGCCGCCUUUUCGAGCAAAGCCAGCAGCAGCAUCAAGAAAUGAUGAAUCAGGUUAUCAAUAUGGGAAACCACCGUGAACCAUACCAACCGCAUUCCAAGUUGUCUGAACUACAAAAGACACGUCCUACAACGUUCGCUCACACUGAUAGGCCGCUUGAGGCCAAUGAUUGGCUUCGUGACACCGAAAGGAAAUUAAUUAUUGCACAAUGCUCAGACUGUGAGAAGGUGCUUUAUGCACCUCACUACCUCACUGGAGCAGCUGCAGCAUGGUGGGAAAAUUUUCUACACAUGCACCCCAAUGAACAUAACAUCACCUGGGAAGAGUUUAAGGAAGGUUUUCGUGGGGCGCACAUUCCCAGGAGCAUUAUAAAGAUCAAGAAAAGGGACUUUGAUGACCUCAAGCAGAGAGGCAUGACAGUGACUGAGUACAAUAGUCAGUUUCUCAACUAUCUCGUUAUGCCUACGAUGAGCAUAUGA
Molecule: ribosomal RNA, 726 nt
Filed under: Triticum aestivum (bread wheat)
Lineage: Eukaryota; Viridiplantae; Streptophyta; Magnoliopsida; Poales; Poaceae
Description: partial small subunit ribosomal RNA
Source: RNAcentral